GGCUGGUCCGAUGGUAGUGGGUUAUCAGAACUUAUUCACAUUAGUGUCACUAAAGUUGGUAUUCAACCCCCCACUGCUAAAUUUGACUGGCUUUUU
This 96-nucleotide Y RNA is filed under the name Microcebus murinus (gray mouse lemur). RNAcentral's name for it is "Y RNA (ENSMICG00000045150.1)". It matches the Rfam family "Y RNA". Rfam says of the family: Y RNAs are components of the Ro ribonucleoprotein particle (Ro RNP), in association with Ro60 and La proteins. The Y RNAs and Ro60 and La proteins are well conserved, but the function of the Ro RNP is not known. In humans the RNA component can be one of four small RNAs -- hY1, hY3, hY4 and hY5. The record is from Rfam by way of RNAcentral. Lineage: Eukaryota; Metazoa; Chordata; Mammalia; Primates; Cheirogaleidae.